UGGGGAAUAUUGCACAAUGGGCGCAAGCCUGAUGCAGCCAUGCCGCGUGUAUGAAGAAGGCCUUCGGGUUGUAAAGUACUUUCAGCGGGGAGGAAGGCGAUAAGGUUAAUAACCUUGUCGAUUGACGUUACCCGCAGAAGAAGCACCGGCUAACUCCGUGCCAGCAGCCGCGGUAAUACGGAGGGUGCAAGCGUUAAUCGGAAUUACUGGGCGUAAAGCGCACGCAGGCGGUCUGUCAAGUCGGAUGUGAAAUCCCCGGGCUCAACCUGGGAACUGCAUUCGAAACUGGCAGGCUAGAGUCUUGUAGAGGGGGGUAGAAUUCCAGGUGUAGCGGUGAAAUGCGUAGAGAUCUGGAGGAAUACCGGUGGCGAAGGCUGCCCCCUGGACAAAGACUGACGCUCAGGUGCGAAAGCGUGGGGAGCAAACA
Molecule: ribosomal RNA, 427 nt
Filed under: uncultured bacterium
Lineage: Bacteria
Description: partial 16S ribosomal RNA
Rfam family: Bacterial small subunit ribosomal RNA
Source: RNAcentral